RNAcentral lists this ribosomal RNA (779 nucleotides) under uncultured bacterium. RNAcentral describes it as "partial 16S ribosomal RNA". The record is from RNAcentral.
AUACUUGCUGACGUCUGGCAUUCAUCGUUUACGGUGUGGACUACCAGGGUAUCUAAUCCUGUUUGCUCCCCACACUUUCGCACCUCAGCGUCAGUUUCGAGCCAGUAAGCCGCCUUCGCCACUGGUGUUCCUCCAAAUAUCUACGAAUUUCACCUCUACACUUGGAAUUCCACUUACCUCUCUCGAACUCAAGACUAGCAGUAUUAAAGGCAGUUCCAGGGUUGAGCCCUGGGAUUUCACCCUUAACUUACUAAUCCGCCUACGUGCGCUUUACGCCCAGUAAUUCCGAACAACGCUAACCCCCUCCGUAUUACCGCGGCUGCUGGCACGGAGUUGGCCGGGGUUUCUUUACCAGAUACUGUCAUUAUCAUCUCUGGCGAAAGUGCUUUACGACCCUAAGGCCUUCAUCACACACGCGGCAUGGCUAGAUCAGGGUUUCCCCCAUUGUCUAAGAUUCCCUACUGCUGCCUCCCGUAGGAGUCUGGGCCGUGUCUCAGUCCCAGUGUGGCUGAUCAUCCUCUCAAACCAGCUAUAGAUCGUAGGCUUGGUAGGCCAUUACCCCACCAACUACCUAAUCUAACGCGGGCUAAUCCUUCUCCGAUAAAUCUUUCCCCCGAAGGGCGUAUAAGGUAUUACUCUCAGUUUCCCGAGGCUAUUCCUUAGAGAAGGGCAUAUUCCCACGCGUUACUCACCCGUCCGCCGCUCAUCCCGAAGGAUGCGCUCGACUUGCAUGUAUUAGGCCUGCCGCCAGCGUUCGUUCUGAGCCAGGAUCAAACUCU